AAACUGAAAACAAACUUUUAAAAAUAGUUUAUAUAUUUAUAUAAUAUCGAUAUUGGCAACCCUGCGUUGUGAGAGAGCAAUCAGCUGCGACGUUUGCAACGGCAAAAAUCCAAAUGUCGCGGAUUCUCACGUCAUCGUCACGUCAGAGAGAAGGGAGUAGCGUUUUUCACUGUUCAGUUACAUUGCGCACCCAUAAGAUAGGUCGUGCCAGCUGACACGACCGACGAUUCUGCUUUGUUCACUGUCUAGCCUAUAACUAUAAUGUGCAUACGCUGCCGUAUGUUACAGUCAAAAAAUGAACGAAGAGCCUGUCAAAUGCAUAACGAACGGAGAGUAGACAUUUGAAUGACAAUAAUGUGCUUACAUGCAGAAGAAGAAAGGGUCAAUAAGCAAUUUGUGUUUUGGUUUUGUUUCGUUUGGAUUUUGCAAAAAUGAACAGAAAAUUAAAAUAUUUAAAAACAAUUAAAAUUCUUAAUUCGGUUUUAGACGGAAUACGCAUAUUGACAGAAAUUAGUGAAAUUACAAAUAAAAGAGUUCGGUCGUGUUCAGUGAAGGAAAUAAACAGAAAGAGGAAGAAGGAUGUUUUUUUGUACGAUUCCUGGAAAUGAAGAGGAUUGACCACACUGAUUUUUUUAUAUACACGCGAAUGACGCCACAAGUAUAUGGACUUUUGCUUACUCUCGUUGAGCCCUUUUUAAAAAAGAAUUCGUUGAGAGAGCCUGUGCAACCGGAAUGUCGAUUAGCUUUGACAUUACAAUAUUUAUCACAAGGAACUUCGUUUCAAUCGCUGGCAUGGUCAUUUCAACUGGGAAAGGAAACGGUUAGGCGCAUUAUUCUGGAGACAACUGAGGUCCUUUGGACGAAGUUAAGCGCUAUUUAUGUAUCUGAACCUAAUAAAGAAGAUUUCAAGCAAAUUUCUCAAGACUUCUGGGAACUGUGGAAUAUGCCCAAAUGUGUUGUAUCUAUUGAUGGGAAGCAUAUCGCUAUUCGAGUGGUGGUCAAUUUUUCUGCUACAAAAAAUUUUUUCUAUUGUGUUGUUAGCAGUAUGUGAUGCACGAUAUCGGUUUACCUAUAUAGAUAUUGGUGCAUAUGGAAGUCAGAGUGAUGGUGGCAUUUUUCAAGUGAGUCGAUUGGGAAAGAGGUUGCUAAAUCACAAACUUCCCAUCCCUCCAGCGAAAAACUUACCAAUACGCAACUAAAAACUCCACACUUCUUCGUUGGUGAUGCUGCCUUUCCUUUAGGGAUAAAUUUAAUGCGCCCAUACCCUGGGGGAAUGUUACCAAAUGAAAAAGAGGUGUUUAAUAAAAGGUUAUCAAGAGCUCGUCGCACAAUUGAAAACUCUUUUGGAAUACUAGUAGCGCCUUGGCGAGUUUUAAUAACAACAUUACAUUUAUUUCCGGAAAAUGCAGAAAAAAUUGUUUUGGCGUGCGCUGCCUUACAUAAUUUUAUUAUGUUUAAUAAUGAAAAUGCAUCUUCGUAUAUUGCAAGCAACUAUGCUGAUUGGGAGGACUCUAAUGGUGAUUUUCAUGACGGUUUAUGGCGUAGAGAAAUUGAAAGUAAUAUCCCAUCGAUUAUGCAAUCUUCCAAUUUGCAUCAUUACGGUGGAAGAAGUUCUUUGGAAAUUAGAAAUAACUUAUGCAGUUUUUUUUAACACUUUUUAAAACAUAUUCUAAAAUCACAUAUCUAACACAAUUUCGAACUUGUUUAUUUCUUUUUUAAUAAAACUAAAUGGGGUUUAAUUAAAUUCAUUCAAUUGUUGUUAUUAAAUUACUCAAAAGAGUUCAGGUACAUGCAUUUUAUGCAUCUUUUUAUAAUAAAUAUAUUUGUUAUAAUAAAUAUAAAGUAUACUAAAAAAAAUCAAUGCUCCAAGCUUUUUAAAAAAUACGGAAAUUAGGUUAAACGACAAGAACGUUUUUAAUUUCAUGUUUGCCUAUUUUCGCGACGUAAGCGAUAUAAUUCCAAUAUCAUUUUUUCUUGGAAACCGUCAUUGACCGACACUGGCAGGUCUUGCAUCAGACACAAAACCGUCGUCAUAAAGGCCUCAUCAGUUUCACAUCUUUCAGCCGGCGCCGCCAUCUGCUUUUCUAAGUUCUCCAUUGUUGCGCCAAGUUUCUGGUAGAGACUUUCUAAGUUGAGACUUUUAUUUUUCUUCCGAGGUGGCGAUGAAAUUUCAUUAAAACUAUCAUUCAAUGAUGACUCCAAGACUGAGUCUGUAUUUGGUUCUGCAUUAUCACGAGUGCUGUACAAUGAAAAAGUUAUAUUUAAAAACAUUCAAAUUUAUACAAAGUACCUACCGACGCAGUGUAACGGAGUCUUUUAGAAACAUCAGGGGUUUUAAAAAACGUCAUUCCUCUAAGUACAUAGCUCAUUCCGCUAAAGGAGCUCUGGGCAACCAGAGCUGAGUAUUAUUUUAUAACCCAAACCUUUACUUUAUGA
Molecule: long non-coding RNA, 2436 nt
Organism: Bactrocera dorsalis (oriental fruit fly)
Lineage: Eukaryota; Metazoa; Arthropoda; Insecta; Diptera; Tephritidae
Exons: 3
Source: RefSeq, a predicted model, not a curated record